GAGGCCUGGGAAGCUGCACUCAGAUAAAGGCAGUAGAAACAGAGCUUCUCUCCAAAGCUACUUCACAGCUCCUCAAGCCCACGUGCCCCCGCCAGCCAAUGUGAUGGGACAGGGCCCACCACGUGGCAGCCCACUGCAGGG
Molecule: long non-coding RNA, 141 nt
Organism: Lutra lutra (Eurasian river otter)
Lineage: Eukaryota; Metazoa; Chordata; Mammalia; Carnivora; Mustelidae
Exons: 3
Source: RefSeq, a predicted model, not a curated record